UACGGGGGGGGCAAGCGUUGUUCGGAAUUACUGGGCGUAAAGGGCUCGUAGGCGGCCAUCUCAGUCAGUCGUGAAAUCCCUCGGCUUAACCGGGGAACGGCGUCUGAUACUGGAGGGCUUGAGUUCGGGAGAGGGAUGCGGAAUUCCAGGUGUAGCGGUGAAAUGCGUAGAUAUCUGGAGGAACACCGGUGGCGAAGGCGGCAUCCUGGACCGACACUGACGCUGAGGAGCGAAAGCCAGGGGAGCAAACGGG
Molecule: ribosomal RNA, 253 nt
Filed under: uncultured bacterium
Lineage: Bacteria
Description: partial 16S ribosomal RNA
Rfam family: Bacterial small subunit ribosomal RNA
Source: RNAcentral